Molecule: ribosomal RNA, 798 nt
Filed under: uncultured Methylobacter sp.
Lineage: Bacteria; Pseudomonadati; Pseudomonadota; Gammaproteobacteria; Methylococcales; Methylococcaceae
Description: bacterial SSU rRNA
Rfam family: Bacterial small subunit ribosomal RNA
Source: RNAcentral
CGGAAUUACUGGGCGUAAAGCGUGCGUAGGCGGUUCGUUAAGUCAGAUGUGAAAGCCCUGGGCUCAACCUGGGAACUGCAUUUGAAACUGGCGGACUAGAGUUUAGUAGAGGGGAGUGGAAUUUCAGGUGUAGCGGUGAAAUGCGUAGAUAUCUGAAGGAACACCAGUGGCGAAGGCGACUCCCUGGACUAGAACUGACGCUGAGGUACGAAAGCGUGGGUAGCAAACAGGAUUAGAUACCCUGGUAGUCCACGCCGUAAACGAUGUCGACUAGCCGUUGGUCCUAUUUACAGGAUUAGUGGCGCAGCUAACGCAUUAAGUCGACCGCCUGGGGAGUACGGCCGCAAGGUUAAAACUCAAAUGAAUUGACGGGGGCCCGCACAAGCGGUGGAGCAUGUGGUUUAAUUCGAUGCAACGCGAAGAACCUUACCUACCCUUGACAUCCAGAGAAUCUGUUAGAGAUAGUAGAGUGCCUUCGGGAGCUCUGAGACAGGCGCUGCAUGGCUGUCGUCAGUUCGUGUCGUGAGAUGUUGGGUUAAGUCCCGUAACGAGCGCAACCCUUAUCCUUAGUUGCCAGCGGGUAAUGCCGGGAACUCUAGGGAGACUGCCGGUGAUAAACCGGAGGAAGGUGGGGACGACGUCAAGUCAUCAUGGCCCUUAUGGGUAGGGCUACACACGUGCUACAAUGGCCGGUACAGAGGGCUGCGAACUUGCGAAAGUAAGCAAAUCCCAGAAAGCCGGUCCUAGUCCGGAUUGGAGUCUGCAACUCGACUCCAUGAAGUCGGAAUCGCUAGUAAU